AACGAACGCUGGCGGCAGGCCUAACACAUGCAAGUCGAGCGCCCUUUCGGGGGAGCGGCGGACGGGUGAGUAACGCGUGGGAAUAUGCCCUUCUCUACGGAAUAGCCUCGGGAAACUGAGAGUAAUACCGUAUACGCCCUACGGGGGAAAGAUUUAUCGGGGAAGGAUUAGCCCGCGUUGGAUUAGGUAGUUGGUGGGGUAAUGGCCUACCAAGCCGACGAUCCAUAGCUGGUUUGAGAGGAUGAUCAGCCACACUGGGACUGAGACACGGCCCAGACUCCUACGGGAGGCAGCAGUGGGGAAUCUUAGACAAUGGGGGCAACCCUGAUCUAGCCAUGCCGCGUGAGUGAUGAAGGCCUUAGGGUUGUAAAGCUCUUUCAGCUGGGAAGAUAAUGACGGUACCAGCAGAAGAAGCCCCGGCUAACUCCGUGCCAGCAGCCGCCGUAA
RNAcentral lists this ribosomal RNA (447 nucleotides) under uncultured bacterium. RNAcentral's name for it is "partial 16S ribosomal RNA". It matches the Rfam family "Bacterial small subunit ribosomal RNA", at positions 29 to 523 of the family's 1533-position model. The record is from RNAcentral.